GAGGAGAGGCGGCGGGCGGGUGGGCGUGAAGCCGUUCCCCUCUCCGCCGGGAAAGCGCAGCCGGAGGGUGACUUCAGGAGCCCCCUCGGGGAGGCAGGCAGCGCGGUUUUCAGGUGACCUGCACAUGGGAAGAAAAGCCGGUUAGCAUCCUGCGUCCUCUACUCUCCAUUCCAGCCGCCUGGAGAACAAAUCCAUUAUGCAUCAUUUUCUCCGGGCGCUUUCUCCAUGCGCCAAUUACGGGGGGAUUUAACAGCUUAGAGUAAAAUGCGCCCGAGUGUGGCCCUGAUCCGCGCCACGGCUGCAGGGGGAAUAUUCCCUCUCCCUAUCCCAGUAGCCAUCUUUCGGCUUCUGGGAUAAAGUUACUCGGUACCUGGAGAGCAGCUGCGAGUUUGUAUAGUUCUGCUACCCAUGCUUAGACCUCGAUUCCCCACCGUGGUCUCUCGCCCACAAGGGGGUUGCAGCAUUUUGCACUAUGUACAUCUCUUUCAUUUGACUUCCGAAGGGGGUAUUAGUGCUCAAACGGCCCAGGGGUGCAUAACGUAUCAGAGGAAACAGCUUGUAAUGACUCAGCACUGUCAAAUACCUACUUUGUCGCUUGGUCCUGCCCCGCGCAGGUGGUCCCAGCUUGAGUUAGAGAGGUGCACUUCUAGACCCAAGUACAGCCCUGCCUACGCAGGAGAAGUUUUUUUUUUUUUUUUCAGAGUGUAUAGUGUUAAAUCAUUACUUGGUGAUUGACCUGCAACUGGAAUCAAAUGUCAAAGACUUUGAGCGUUAGUGAACAAGUUUGACGGAGAUAGAAUUGGACAAGAUUUUGGCUGUUGGAUAACCGCAUCCACAGAUAGAAUUGUGCUCUACUUGAUGUACCAGUAAAUCCCUCCUUCCUGGCCUUGGGGUACAGUUAAUGAGGGCCAGACUGCUGGGACAGGGCACCAUUCAUAAAUGGUCUCCAAAGACUCGGGGGCUUGCUGCCAGAGGGAACUACGGGCAGGUUUGGUCUCCAGUGGGGGGUAAAGUCAAUUUUGGGGUUAUGACAGAGGGUUGUUCAAGCUCAUCUCUCUCUUCCUGGGGUGACAGACUUACUGGGCUUCUGAAAAUCAAAUGCAUUUCCUUUGCUCCUUGUGAGAUGAAAGUGUUUUAAAUCCCUGUCUCUGUGUAUCCCUGACUUUUAUGCUGCAGGUGAACCCUGUAGCCAAAAGCACAUUUUCUUUUCUGUGUGGAUUUCUGUUCUAUAAAAUGCACUUUUCUCUGUAGUUACAGUACAGACAGUACCUGUGGCCCGUGGAGUUUUGAGGUAGGAAUCACUGUUUCUUAGUGGGGGGGGGGGGGGUCCGUUUAUCACACCUUUUAUGGAGGGUAUUUGACUGUUAAGAUCUUAAAAUAGGUACAUGUAUUACCAAGGUGCAAAUGUAUAUUAACAAAAUAUUUGGGGGCCUGUACUGGGAGCAUAUGCAAAGUAUGUACUACCUAAGCGGGUCUGUGUUUCAGGAGGGAGGUAGUAUAUCAACGCUGCCUUCAGUUUAACAGUUUGUUAGUCUGAGACCCGUUUUGUUCAGUAGAGUGCAUCAGUCACGUGUGGCGAACAGCCCAGAACUUUUCACACCAUGAAUUAUAAAGGCACAGGCUUAGUUUUAGCUUGCAACGAUCUAAGGCUCUUAGAAAGGAAUGAGGCUGGGCUUCAACCAGAUGAGUAGCCUAAGCUCCUUUAGAAAGUUAAGAAGCAGAGGCUGAUGGCCAGGUGGAUAUAUAGAGGCAGGGCUGGCACCAGGAGAUAGAACAUUGACUUGGAUCCCAGAAUAGGCGAGUGGCAGGCAGAGGAGGAAGUCAGUCCACAUUUGGGGGCGAGGGAGGGCUGGCAAUUUCAGCCUGGGCCAAUAGAAAGGCUAGUUCAGAGGGGUAGGGUAAUAGGAGUCAACAGGUGACCAGCAGAAAGGAGAUGGAGGCCCAGGAGAGGACAGGCCUAGGAAGUGGAAUUCAUUUUGAUCACUAGGAGUGGAGGCACAAGGUUCUCAGGGCUCGGCCUUGCCCGGCCGCUGUGGACUCCAUUGCCAUCCGAACCUCGUGAAAAUAAAUAGUUGGCUUGCCAGGCUUGACCGGAUCCUCUUGCUGUGGGUUUUGCUCUUCUGGGCCCCUGGGGGGUUUUCUGUUCCUCUGUUAUUUUGGAGGUGGAAUGAAAAGUCUGUUAUUCCUUCAGCUGUGUGAGACUGCUUUAUGGUUAACUUGGGAACCAAGCAUUGUAGGAUGUUUGCAGGAGAAGCAGAUUUCUCCCUGUUAAUUCAUCAUGGCUUUCUUAAGGAACCCGAGAGCUUGCUUUUGUAGGUGAUCACACACACAGGGUUGGUGUGCAAGGUGUGUGUUAUAUAUGAUCUUUGCGUUGGCAAUCAGCCUGUCCCUCUGAUGAAGCAUUUUCAGAUACCUGAGGAAGGGCACACCUUGGGACGCUGCCAACAAUGCUUGCUUUGGUCGGGGGCGGGUGGUGAUCGAAAGUUCUGUGCCCAGUGACGUUAUUUCCUAUUUGAUCCCCCAGUAGUCCACCUUCUUAUUUUGUCUUCCCAGAUGCCUUUUUUUUUUUUUUUUUUGACAUUCGGAGGCUUCAUUUCAUUUCUCCGUUUACUUUCUGAGAUUGCCCAGUGUCUUCAGUGACACCGGUGUGGGCUUCUCAACGGCGGAGCUGAAGGAGGAAGUUGCCUGUGAUUUGAGAAGCAACUUUGAAAAGCAGGCAGGACUGUGUGUGUGUGUGUGUGUGCGCGCGUGCGCGCCUUCCCUCAAGAACCUGCCUAGGGAGGAAACUCAAGGGAGACUUGUAUAUGAGACAAACACUAAUUGUUAAGCUAGGCAGGGGACCAGCAGCUUUUUGCCUGGGUGUGGGGGGUCUCCCAGGGGAAUGCAGAAGGCUUUUGAACCCCGAUACCCAGGCUCUGUGAUCCUAGAGAUAAGGUAAUGUGCCACCCCAGGCCCGCUGUGGAUUCUGAAAUCUGUUACACUUGCAAGUGCUUGAACUGGAAAUCAUGCUCCAGAUCAGCCAACAGUCCCAGGAAUGUUCUCUCCUAGUCACUGAAACGGCCUGACUGGCCACAGGAUAUUUUUUGGAGCAGAAGAAGAGAGACCCAUCCAGUUGGGUCAAGAGUGCAAUUUUCCUUGACUUGGGUCUUUGCUUCUGGUCGUUCCAGUCUGAACUGACCUACUUGCAAGGAUGUGACAUCUGCUAACAUCUCAGGCCCUUUGGAGAAGGCGUAGGCAUGUGGGAACUGCUCGGAGAGAAAGUCAGUGUGUGUGCGCGUCCUGGUGAUGCAUGGAGACCCACUCAGGUGUUUCCAGCCAUUCGUGGAGGGUAGCCCUGCGUAUAGAGGUUCGCAUACAUUCUCAAAUUUCUGGGGACUGGAAUAGAUAAGGCUGCGUGAAGGAAAUGAAAGCCCCUGACACCCCUGGGCAGUUGUGAUCGAGGCUCCCUUACAAAGGCAUUUGAAUUUCUUCAGGAUGAAAACUUAAGGCGGUGGCUGGAGGAGUCUCCAGCCAGGGUGGGGUGCUCAGGCGGGGCCUCUGACCCAGGGGUGGGCAUUUGCCUGUUGAGAGUUUUGCAUACACUGAGUCUGAGGUUGUGCUGAUGACAUAAUGAGCUGGAUGAAUGAGUGCAUGUCACAAAGCUGAUUGAUGGUCCCUUUUUAAAAAUUUUGGGCCCCGAGAGCAUUGCAUGGCUUGAGUUACUGGUAAGGUGAAACUGCAGGAUUUGUUAGUCUUUCUUCUUCUUCUCCUUCUCCUCCUCCCCCUCCCCCUCCUUCUCCUCCUCCUUUUUUUUUUUUUUUUUUAAAAUCCCAAAAGAAGCAUCAUUUUGAAGAUGGGUAUUUGCCUCUUUUCCCCAGAAGCAGACAGCUGAGAGACAUUUUUAAAGUCCUUGUCAAAUUAGUAUGAUGACUAAGGCAACUGUGUUUUACUUAAUCAAAUUAUUUUACACACUUACGGUUGCUCAAAGUGACAAAUUCCCUGCCAUUUGCAUAAUUACUGGAUAGCCCCAGGUAGUAAGAAAUAAAAUUACCCUGAUUUUUUUUUCCUUGCUGUUUGGUUGCAAAUGUUUAGCUAAUAAUUAUUUAGGGGAAAAAAUGAUCUCUGAAAAUUCCUUUCAACCAGCUUUGUGUACACAGCUUAGUUUCUGUAGGGGUUUUCUCUUGUGUGUUUAACAGUCCAAGAAAGUGAAUCAGUUGUGAAGUGAGCUCCAUCUCUUUUCCUGAAUUUUGUAACUCUCCCACAUUUCCAUUUUAGAUUCCUUACAAAGAGGAUGACCCAGAGGCCUCUCCGCAGAGGCACUGCCUUGCUAAUCAGAUGCCCAGCAUUUAAACUCAUCUCCUUGCCUGCUGCUGGAAUGGCAGUAUUGCUGACUGGUUAAAACUCCAGAUGACAUGGUGAAAACUCCCAGACGGAGACCGACAGCACCUGUGACAGUUGUGACUCAAUGGGGUGAGCUUUAGAAGACCUGGGGUUCACUCCCACGUUCUCCCCUUCUCAGCUCUGUGUUCUCAGGCUGAUUACUCAACCUCUCUGUGCAUUGGUUUUUCAUUUUAAAACUGGGAUCAUAAUAGUACCUAGCCUCAUAAUGAUUCUGUGAGGACUCACGGAGUUGGUACUUAUAAAGCACUUUGAAUGCUAGCUGGCACAUAGGGCUCGACAUAGACAAGCUAUUAAUAAUGACAUGGUUAUAUAUAUUGACUGCAGACACUCAGUUUGUAGCCCCAACAAAUGAGAAAUAAAAUUAUUUCAAUCAAGUGUUGAUUUGGGUGUAGUGAAUUGUACAUCAAGUAGUUCCCUAUUCUGCAUGAACGUUUUGUCUGGGAGGUAAAAGGUUUUUGGUAGUAAAUACCGGUACCAGUUGCUAAUUCUGUUUAUUCCCUUAUUAUAAAUAUAGCAAUCCGUUUUAUCUUAAAGACACUAUAAAAGUUACCAGUCAUGUGGGGGAGGAGCCUACUCUAGUAAUGCUUAUGCUGAGCAUUUAUAGUCAGUGGGUACUUUGAGGUGGGUGGAGCAGGGAUGGUGCUCGCGCGGCUGGGAGGGACAGGUGCCCUGAUGCCUCGCUUUGGGAGGCCCUAUUAUCUGUCGCUCUGGUCUGUGGCCACAGGAUGGGGAAUACUUGACAGUCUUCUACAUUGUACGCAGCCGAGGAGCAGUGAAAAGAGUUUUGGAUUUGGAGUCAGAAGACCUGCAUUUGAACCUGGACCUUCUACUUCCCAGCUCCUGGUGACUUGACUUAACCUGAACCCCAGUAUCCUCAUCUGAAAAACGGGGCCUGUCUUACCAAUGGUUGGGAGAUUUAAAUAAAUGGACGCGUGAUACAGUGUUUCUCAUAGGGUAUAGGAUUCGGUACUUGCUUUAACACUAACGACAUAACCCUACUUGUUGACCUUGGCACAACAGAAGUCCUUCCAGGGGCCUGAGGAUUUGCUUCCUAAAUUGGAGAUCUGGGCCCUUGUAGCUUUCUCUGCGACUCUGGGUGAAGGGUGGCCACUUCAAGGCAGCCUGGGGUGUCAGGAGGGGGUAUCAGGGGACAUCUGUUAAUGCACAUUUGCUGCCCUCUGGGCAGCCUUGUUUAAGAUGAGCAACCUUGGGGCUCAGUCCUGGUUGCCUGGGGGGCUCAGGGCUCAUGCCACACCCACCUCCUCCUCAGCAGGCACAAUUGUGGGCAUUUUCCUCCUCUUGAUCCUUUUUUGUUUUUCAGAAGCCGAGUGAAUGAGCUCUUGAUAAGAGUGUCGUUUCUCAUCCCCUGGAUUCAUUCCCCUUAGCUCAUGAUGAUCGUUUAGGGGGGACACCUUUGCACGAUGCCGCUCACCUUUCCUCCCCAGGUCUGGUCACCUCUGUCCUUGGGAAGGAUAAGGAAUGAACCACGCUCUUCUCAGUGAAUCAAGUUGGCAGUGGCUAUUUUAGCGUUGGGUUUUGUUGAAAUCCUUGCCAUGGGCACACUGUGAAUCCUGGAAACAAGCAGGUGUCCCCAGGAUGUGGCAGCAGGUGUGAGUUACUGUGCAGGAGAACGAGUCCAUUCUUCGUGCAUCUAUCUGUCCAUCCGUCCACACUCCCUACGUGAGUUCUGUACAACGUGCUGGCAGAUUCUAAUUUGUCUGGCAGGUUGCCCUUUGGGACGGGUCUCCGGAUAACGAACCUGGCUGUCCAGGUGACCCCGGGCACUUUUUGUUGGUAGGUCUAAAGCCCUUUGUGGCUCUCAGUUCAUAGCUACCUGAGCUCCUGAUUGUGCAGAGUUAGCAGAAAUAGGAAGGAGCCGAGAGCAGGCUUUCAACAAAUAGUCCUGGGGAAUAUAAUAGACUAUUAGGCAAACUCCUCCCUCAAUCCCUGCCCACACAACUACAGGAACUUAAGCAAGAGAGAAAUGAUUAUUUUUACCUCCAUUUCUCCACUGGCAAGGUCGAUGUAGGGAGAACAGUGUCACAAUGGUGCUUUUCAAUUAAAGACUAUUGUACAAUGUUCUUGGGAAUGGCUAUUGUCUUCCCCUUCUCCCCCCUUUGGAAAAGGCUUAUGUAAAACAGGCACGCUCCUCUAAUUGUUGGAUUUGCUCCCCCAUCCUGACACUGCUGCUUUCCCAUCUUGGGCUGAUUAGAAUGAGAAAUUACCACCUUGAAUAUAAGCAAGUUGAAAUUGGAAAGCUGCCCUCUGACUGAUUACAUAAGCUUUCAACUACUGUACCUGAAAUCUCAUGUUUACCUUGCUGAGAAUUCUCUUAAUGAAGAUACACAUUUCUAAGCAGCACGGACGCAUAUGUUUUUAUUAUGUAAGCUUCAAUUAUUGUGAUGCAACCUGUGGGAAAAAAAGAAUGGCGUUGAUGAGCUCAACUCUCCGUUGGCUUUUUGGGUCAGAGAAUGAUUGGAAGUAGACCCACAGAGCCCCCUAGAGACUCCCCCCUCCCCGGAACUUUGGACCACCUGAUGCUUCAGCACCAGCACCUUCUCCCCGGGGAUGUACAGGUACACCCUGGGUCUGUGGUCCCCGCCACUCUCAAGGUCGCAGAGGGCAGGUGUCCGUGAAGGCUUGAGAGUGCUCAUGCGAUUCAGCGGCAUGUCCGUGGAAUACAGCCACAGUCGGUUGCGAUGGGCUUCGCGGUUUGGCCUUUUUGUUUCCGAAAGUGCUGCUGGGAUGGCCUUUGGGAUGGACUCUGUCUUGUUUUGUGUAACGUGCUGGUGUCUCCUUGUGGCUCAUCGCACUAUCUUCUCCUCAACGCCAUAACUUCCGUGAGGUGCACAAAGUGGCACGCUACGUGGUCCAUUCCAGAUUUCCAGCCUCCUGAACUGUAGACAGCAGCUUGUUUUGUGGCUGGGGUGGGGCGCUGGGAGAAAAGACUGAAAGUAAACUAGACCAGUUGAAACAGAUCUAGGAGAGUGGCAGAUAGGCCUCCACUGUCAUUAUGCAAAACAUUGAGGGCCAGACGCACAAUUUAUUGUAUGAUUUAUUGCCGGGCACUGGGUGCUGCCUCCUCCCCAGUGUGGUAAAUACUGUGUCGGCUGGGAGGCUUAACGUGCCAACAGCAGUUUUCCCGUCAGCCGAAGGGAGGAUAUCUUUUGGAGACAAAAACCAUAAAUUAGCACCUUCGCUUUACCUUGGCCAACCCGUGGAGGUGCAUAUAAAUCGAAAAGUCUGCAAGCAGUUUUGCAGCUUUGCCGUUGGCGGUGAAGGGGAGCCGGUGGGGAGGUCCUCCUUGCUGCAUGCAGCUCAGAGUGGUGUGGGGAUCCAGCAGCCCCGUGAGCCUUCUGAGAUGCAUAGGUGGAACGGAUUGUCCAAUCAACAUACCGUCCCUCUGUCCCAACGUUGGCAUGGCUUGUAUUCUUAGGUGUCUUUAAAAAUAACAUCGCCCAAACUCUGCCCCUGUUGCUUUCAUCUUAGGCAAAAUCAGGGCACAGGAGUAAGUAAUUUCCCCAAAUGUGCAGUCCCACUCUCCAGAGUUAGCCCACAGUAGCCAGCAGGGGUGAGCAGGUGAGCAGUCCAGAAGAGUUUUAUUUUUGGAGAUAAUGAUUAUAAACACAUAUAAAUAAAAAUAAUGUUUUGGUGACUGCAGGGGAAAAAUCAUUUAUUUCUGUCUUUUAAAAUAUUCCUCCUCUUUUUUUUUUCUUUUUUAAACAGACUCUGUUUCCUAAAAGGCAUCAUACCUAUUCUUAAUCGGGUGAACAGAUAAAAAUACAUACGUCUGUAUUUCUCUGUCUUCUGAUACUUCCAGUUUCACUGGGAAACGCUUUUGUCACUUAAGUACCAAAGCAGCCAUUAAAAACACGGCGAGGGCUCCUGGUAGCCAAGGCUGUCAGGGAGACCAUUCGGUGUGACAAGGGACACAUUUUAGAUCCUCCAAAAGGAAGCCGAGUGUUCUUGUGUUCAGGUCUGUCGCCUCUGUGACUGCUUUUCUCUUUGGGCCAACGGAGCUGAGCUCUCUGGUGGUCACGGUGGUCAGCUCAGCUCUUUCGCCUCCUGGUUGGUCAUUGAUUUUCUUCUUGCCUCCCUAGGCUGGCCCCUGACUCCACCGGGGCCAUGCUUCGCCAACCCUGGCAGGGUAUCAUGGUCAGAGCUGCGAGACCUCUGUCAGGGUGUGCUCCCCGAAGUCAAAACCCGGGUCAUUCCCAAGUAGGACUCUUGUGCCGAGUUUAUGCCAUGGACACUGUCUAUACCCUUCUAUGAGUGCCUUCCUUUGUUGGCUUCCCUCCAUCCUCAUUCAGGGGGUGAUGCAGCUGAGCUCUCCGCCCCCUACAGGCUAGAGAGAUCCAGUCCCACCUGUGACCAUGGGCUGUAUGUUAAUUCCUGCCCUCCUGGACCCUGUUGUAUUUUAUUUGGGAGUGGGGUCUUCACAUCCUAUUUAAACAUUUUCCUUCUUUGGAAUUCAGAGGGCUGUAGGGGCAUUGUCAAACAUUUUCUGUAUCUCAGAUGUGAGACCAAAAUUGGGUUAUUUUUUCUCCCUUAGAUAUAGAAAGGUGUGACGUGAGGUUCAGAGACAGUGACUUGGACUGUUUAUCCUUUGGUUGGAGGUGGACUUGGACCCAGGGGUGGGAAGGUGGAUGAUAGGAAUGUGUUUCCAAAGGAAGAAAUGGGAUGUGUUGGUUUCCUGGGGCUCUGAUGAGAUGGAUGACCACAGACUGGGUGGCUUAGAACAAUAGAUUUAUCUUCUGGCAGUCCUGCUGGCCAGGAGUCUGAAAUCAGGGUGUUAGCAGAGCUAUGCUUCUUCUGAGACUCUGGGUAGAAUCCUUUCUUGCUUUUUUGUAGCUUCUGAUGGUGGCCUUUCAUCUUUGAUGUUCUUAGGUAGACUUUGCACCGCUCCCAUAUGUGACUCUGAGAUCACAGGGCAUUUUCCUUCUGUGUCUCUCUCCUCCUGUUAGAAGGACAUCAUUCAUAUUGGGUUAGGGCCUACCCUAAUGACCUUAUCUUACCUUAACUAUAUCUGCUAAGACCUUGUUGCAAAUAGGGUCACGUUCACAGAUACCAGGAAUUAGGACUUCAACACCAUCCUUUUGGGGGGACACAAUUCAACCCAUAAUACCAGGGGAGAAAAAGAGCAAAGGCCCCUAAAACGGUCUGAUGGUACAAAGAGGGAAAAAAAAAAGGAAAAGACAGAUUCUUUGCCCUCGUUAGGGUUUGGGGUUGGGUAGGAAGAUUAUGGGAUGUUGUUGGUCGGCUUGUCAUUCUUUGCAGAAAUUCUGCCCUGUGACAAUCCUUGCUUCCUUUCUCAACAAGUAAGGUGAUAACUAUGUUUCCAUCUGAGACGUGGUGGUUAGGCUGUGGGAGUGAGCCUGAUUGCAUUAAUGAAUAGCUUUGAACAAACCCUUUCCCAGUUCUGGGCAUAGCUGAGUGCAGGGAUUGGCCUGGAUGAGUACGGGAUCUGAUUAAGGGAAAUCCAUGUAAAAAAAACAAAAACAAAAACAAAAACCCUAGAAAUACACGUGGGUGAGCAUUAUGUGUGUAUAUAUUUAGAGUGUGUGUAGUAUAUCUCUCCCGCUCCUUCUACCCGGGACUCCUUAAUAGGAACCAGGCCCAGUAAAAUGUCCAGCUGGCCCUGUCCCCUCCCUGAAGUCCUGUCCGAUUCGGUGAGACUGGAAGAGAAUGUUAUCACUGUGCCAGCCAGCCCCAGAUUUGGCCAGGUACGUAUUACUUUAGGACCAGACACCUGCAUUCUAAUCUGAUUCAUUUCAUCUCCAUGUUCUUUUUGAUGGGGAGUUGCUCAGCAUUGGCUCCUUUUAAAAGACUUCAGCUUGGUCUCUGCCAAACUAAUUAACUUGGACAACUUCUUUAAGUGCCGUGAGCAACAUCGACUUCGGUAAGGCGUGUUCUUGGCCCUCACGGAGUUUAUAUAUCCUAGCGGGAGGGAUGGCAUGUUUAUAUUUUUCACUAAUGACUCAUUCAUUAGACUGUCUCAGGUGCUGGGCCAGGCAGCAGCUCUGUCCUCGGGGAACCCUGCAGCUGGUCCAGCCGUAUCCACUGUCCACGGGACCAUGAGGUCUCCACCGUAGAAGCCAAGUGUUGGGUCAAGGUGGGAGGCGGUGUUGGAGAUGGGCCUGGGGAGAAGAGGAGAAUGUUUAGGGUUGCAGAUGUAAAAUAAUUUUCCCAACCUUGGACAGAAUAGACCCAAGGGGAAUGAGAUGUCAGGCUAACGGGGCAAGUGUCUGGCUGGGAGAGCCUUCGUAGGUGGGAUGGGAAUGGGAAGCCUACGACGGAUAAGGGGCAGGCUGGGAACACAGGGCCACAGCCACAUACAGGGGCAUGUCAGGGCCAGCACUGGAAGGUGCGCUCUAGCCAGCAGUGCGGGGGCUGACGGCACCUCUCCUGGCAAGGCUUACAUCCCUCCCCCCCAGCUUUGAAGCGGUCCCCUAAAAUCCUGCUAGAGACCACUCUGCCAGCAUGUGGAAGGAAGCAGCAUUAGGGCAUCCUCAGACUUAGCUAUAAGUGAGUAUGGCUGCAUUGCAUGACAUAGACAAGGGGCUGAAGGACGCUGGUUUUCCCAGAAUGCUGUGCUCACCGGGAUGGGGGCAGUGGAGGUGGAGGGGGGCUGUAGCAUCCAUACACAAUGGCACCUCUGUGUUCAACCUCUUUUUUGAGUUCUCUUCAAAUGAGAUUUCUGCAAGAUGAGCUAAAAUUAGGAAAGGUCCUAUCGUGUUUGACUUUUUUUUUUUUUAAACCCUUUAGCUUGGCCUCAGAUGUAUCAGUUCUGGAUAACUUUAAAGCUGGUAUCAGGACAAACUGUGUUCACACACAGGAAAUGUCUCCAAACAGAAAGUGGGCGUGCAGUUUACAGUUUGAAAAUUGGAUGGAGGCCAUUCAAAAUUCCCCUCCUGUUCUCCUUGAGAAGGACUUGGCAAAAUGCUGAGAGGGGGCAUUCCUCCUUGGAAUAAUCAUGAGGGUCCAGAGGGAAACCAUCUUCUGAGCAGAGCUAACCAGCUACUGGGAUGCGGGGACCGGGAGGCUGGUGGGGCGUUUACUGAGCUGUGUGCCCUUUGACGUCACAUCCUGUAUAGAGGGCAUGUGGAGCCUGGCCAGAACGCCUCUGGCCCGUUGGCCCACACCUGUUGCCCACAGAUGGCCGAUCCAAACACGGGCUGAGACAGCUCAGGAACCCCGUGUGGCCUCAGCACUUGGCUCUACCGUUAACUUGAACUUCAAGUUCAUGCUUGUGGCUUUUGUCUUAAUAGAGGCCUUACUGUUUUACUUAUUACACAAGGACUACAUGUGUUGAAAAUUUGGAAAAUAUAAACACAGAUACAAUUUUAAAAAAGAAGCAUCAUCAUGUAUAAUGCCAGGACUUGGAGAUAUACUCUCAACAUUUUGGAACCCACGCUUUCAAUGUCUCUGGGUCAGCCCACGCUUUUUUGUGACUUUGAGGACAGAGUACAAGUGACCCUUAAACAACGUGGGGUUAAAGGGGCAUCAACAUGCACCUACCUCCCCCACUAUCAAAAACCUGUGUAUAACUCUUGACUCCCUCAGAACUUAACUACUCAUAGCCUACUGUUGACAGGAAGGAAGCCUACUGAUAACAUAAGACAGUUGGUUAACAUAUAUUUUGUAUGUUGUACGUAUUAUAUACUGUAUUCUUACAAGCAGGUAAGCUAGAGGAAAGAACAGGUUAUUAAGAAAAUCAUAAGGAGGGCGCCUGGGUGGCUCAGUCGGUUAAGCGACUGCCUUCGGCUCGGGUCAUGAUCCCGGAGUCCCGGGAUCGGGUCCCGCAUCGGGCUCCCUGCUCGGCAGGGAGUCUGCUUCUCCCUCUGACCCUCCUCCCUCUCAUGCUCUCUGUCUCUCAUUCUGUCUCAAAUAAAUAAAUAAAAUCUUUAAAAAAAAAAAAAAGAAAAAGAAAAUCAUAAGGAAGAGAAAAUACAUUUACAGUACUGUACUUUAUGGGAAAAAAAUCUGCAUAUAAGGGGCCCUGUGCAGUUCAGGUCCAUGUUGUUCAAGGGGCUCCUGUAGUAGAGGCUAUUGGCUCUGUGAAGUCCAUGUCUGCUGUGUGUUAAUCUUGUGUGUCUUUGGGCCAGUGACUUUACCUCUCCAUUGUAUCCCUAAGAUUGGCAUGGUGUUUAUACCUCCUUCAUACUAAAUGGGGUAAUCCAUUCAGAGUGUUUAAGCUGUGCCUCUGCAGUAUGUUACUCUUGUUACAUAUUAUUAUUAUCCUAUAAUAAAAUCAGAUCACACCGUACCUUCUGGUUAGGAACUUACUCUUUCCCCUAAACCACUGUGACUACUUUUCUGUAACGUCAGAUGUUCUUCUUUGGUGUCGUGGUUAUAAAGAAAAAUGACCCUACUGUUUCUAUAAAAACAAUACAUAUUCAUUAUGAAGAAUUUUAUUUAUUUAUUACUUUAUUUUAUUUUUAAAGAUUUUAUUUAUUUAUUUAUUGAGGACAUGAGUGGGGGAUGGGGCAGAGGGAGAGCAUCUCAAGCUGACUCCACGCUGAGCACAGAGCCGGAUGCAGGGCUCAGUCCCAGAACCCCGAGAUCAUGACCUGAGCCGAAAUCAAGAGUCAGAUGCUUAACUAACUAAGCCACCCAGGCACCCCCAUUAUGAAGAAUUA
Long non-coding RNA from Mirounga angustirostris (Northern elephant seal), 13019 nucleotides. RefSeq lists it as uncharacterized. The record is from RefSeq and is a predicted model, not a curated record. NCBI's taxonomy places the organism in Eukaryota, Metazoa, Chordata, Mammalia, Carnivora, Phocidae. The transcript is spliced from 3 exons.